Durio zibethinus is the source of this 1302-nucleotide non-coding RNA. The record is from RefSeq and is a predicted model, not a curated record. Lineage: Eukaryota; Viridiplantae; Streptophyta; Magnoliopsida; Malvales; Malvaceae.
CAAAACAAAGAAAGUUUCCAUUCUAUAUCGAGUCGAGCAUCCAUUUUCUCAGAUCAAACAAGUGAAACGCUAGGUUGCCACUUCCCAACCGCCGCACUAACUCCAUUCCAAAUCCCCCACACACCAUCUAAUCAUCAUGCAAACGCUAUUGCUGCCAGCAACUCGCUCCGGGAAUUGUUCGGUGGUGAUGGGUCCCGUCCCCUCUCACCGUCACCGACCACCGCUCACUCUCUCUCCUUCGAAUUUUCUCGCGUCACUCAAAACUCGGAAAGCAAAGCCUCUCCUGUCCCCCUUCGCUUCCAACGAUCCUCUCAAUGUUAAAAGAUAUAAGCUUUUUUUGAGCAGAGUCUCUCGUUCCCCAGUUUCACCUAGUUUUACCUCCCCUAAUGAUGAUAGUGACGAAGCAAAGCUCGCUCAGGUUUCGAAGAGGUUAGAGAGGACGUCGAGGUACUUUAUGCGAUUGGGCAAUUUAGGGUUUUGGGGACAGCUAGUAUGCACUGUGGUGUCAGCGGUGAUACUUUCAUUUUCUGUUGUUAUUACUGGGAAAAUCACAUCACCUGCUGCUUUCUAUGCCACUGCCGGUGGAAUUGUGGCUGCAUUUAUAUCAGUUUUUUGGUCGUUUGGGUAUAUUAGACUUUCUGAGAAGCUCAAGAGAACAGCUAAUGAUCCUUCAAAGGCUCCUUCUCGUGCUGAUGUUGUGAAAAGCUUGAAAAAUGGCAUAUUUCUGAAUCUUCUAGGAAUGGGUGCUGCUAUUCUUGGUAUGCAAGCAAAAGUGGGCUUACUAGUCGCUAAGGCUCUUACUUCAUCCACAAAUCCUUAUUACCAAGGAAUUUCUCCUGGCUAUGGUCCAGUUCUUGCAUUGGAUGUAUUCCUGGUGCAGGUACUUAAUCUAAUUUGAGUAUCUGUAAUUUUAACUGAAUUAGGCUUUUGUUUGUGGAUUUGAGACUUUAGUUACUGCAUUAGUUUGCCCCUCAAGACACCCCUUCCUCUUUCCCAAACUAGGAGAAGAAAGAAAAUGGAAGUUGAAAAGGAAGAGGAGCCUGUCCCCUCAAAAAUUUGAAGUCCCUGCUUUUCAGUUACCAGUCAAUAUUCAGAAAGACCUGCCAGCAAUGUGCAGGUCGUUUUGUAUGUACAGAGAGUGACAUUAACUGGGUCUGUUAGAUUGAUAGCAACCAAUUGCAGAUACCUUGAAGAACAUGGUUCUCCAUAUGGAUGUAUAAAUGCAAGUAAAUUUAUAGCAUAUGGUUCUCCAUACAGGCGUCAGCUAACACUAUCCUUUCUCAUUUUCUGGGGCUUGUGUUC